Molecule: non-coding RNA, 21 nt
Filed under: Arabidopsis thaliana (thale cress)
Lineage: Eukaryota; Viridiplantae; Streptophyta; Magnoliopsida; Brassicales; Brassicaceae
Source: RNAcentral
UGAAGUUGCAUGGAGUACCUG